UGGUGGCGGAGGAGGAAGUUGUGGUGGUGGAGUUUGUUGCAGAAAUAGUAGAUUUCUGUGAUUUUCUGUUACCAACACAAGCAGAGAAAGCUGAGCGUGAUGAGGCAGUGGCGAGUGUGUCAAGUGUUAUUAAGUAUAUCUGGCCGAGUUGCAAGGUUGAGGUUUUUGGGUCAUACAAGACAGGGCUGUAUCUUCCAACAAGUGAUAUAGAUGUGGUGAUUCUGGAAUCAGGUCUCACUAAUCCACAGCUAGGUUUACGCGCACUCUCCAGGGCAUUGUCACAAAAGGGAAUUGCAAAGAAUAUCUUGGUGAUUGCUAAGGCUCGUGUACCAAUUAUUAAGUUCGUUGAGAAGAAAAGCAACAUUUCAUUUGAUCUAAGCUUUUUUUAUCUUCCCAUUUCCCUACUAUCUUCACUUUUGGAUUCAGUGUGCUUUCUUCUUAAGUAAAUUGUAAUCUCAAUAUCUUGGAUCAUCUUCUUAGCUCAUAUUUGCAUCAAUCCGGUUCACUUUUUCUUUAAAGCUUCAGUCUUUGUUGUCUUGUGAGAUCUUGUAGAUUUUGUUUAUGCUACA
This is a non-coding RNA of Camelina sativa (false flax), 569 nucleotides long. The record is from RefSeq and is a predicted model, not a curated record. Lineage: Eukaryota; Viridiplantae; Streptophyta; Magnoliopsida; Brassicales; Brassicaceae.